GAUGAACGCUGGCGGCGUGCUUAACACAUGCAAGUCGAACGGAAAGGCCCAAGCUUGCUUGGGUACUCGAGUGGCGAACGGGUGAGUAGCACGUGGGUGAUCUGCCCUGCACUUCGGGAUAAGCCUGGGAAACUGGGUCUAAUACUGGAUAGGACCACUUCUUGGAUGGUGUGGUGGAAAGUUUUUUCGGUGUGGGAUGAGCUCGCGGCCUAUCAGCUUGUUGGUGGGGUAAUGGCCUACCAAGGCGUCGACGGGUAGCCGGCCUGAGAGGGUGUACGGCCACAUUGGGACUGAGAUACGGCCCAGACUCCUACGGGAGGCAGCAGUGGGGAAUAUUGCACAAUGGGCGCAAGCCUGAUGCAGCGACGCCGCGUGGGGGAUGACGGCCUUCGGGUUGUAAACUCCUUUCGCUAGGGACGAAGCGUUUUUGUGACGGUACCUGGAGAAGAAGCACCGGCUAACUACGUG
Molecule: ribosomal RNA, 468 nt
Filed under: uncultured bacterium
Lineage: Bacteria
Description: partial 16S ribosomal RNA
Rfam family: Bacterial small subunit ribosomal RNA
Source: RNAcentral